RNAcentral lists this transfer RNA (76 nucleotides) under Thermacetogenium phaeum DSM 12270. RNAcentral describes it as "tRNA-Lys (CTT) (tRNA-Lys-CTT-1-1)". It matches the Rfam family "tRNA". Rfam says of the family: Transfer RNA (tRNA) molecules are approximately 80 nucleotides in length. Their secondary structure includes four short double-helical elements and three loops (D, anti-codon, and T loops). RNAcentral also lists the same sequence under 3 other names. The record is from RNAcentral. Lineage: Bacteria; Bacillati; Bacillota; Clostridia; Thermoanaerobacterales; Thermoanaerobacteraceae.
GCGCCAUUAGCUCAACUGGUAGAGCAGCUGACUCUUAAUCAGAAGGUUGGGGGUUCGACUCCCUCAUGGCGCACCA